This 266-nucleotide long non-coding RNA is filed under the name Elaeis guineensis (African oil palm). RNAcentral's name for it is "long non-coding RNA (EGUI_LNC026886)". The record is from RNAcentral. Lineage: Eukaryota; Viridiplantae; Streptophyta; Magnoliopsida; Arecales; Arecaceae.
GGCAUUAAAUGUAUGUUGAAAAACGGUGGCUAUGUGGAUUAAUCGGAUAAGACAGUAUGCUCUACGUUGAAUUUUCUACACUAUAUGUGGUGCACAAAUAAUUUCUCACCUAAGACCAAAGCCCACUCAUGGACUUGACCUUCAUCAACUGUGACAAGAUCGUGAGUCGUUGCUGGGCCAAAUAGUUUCAGAAGGCCGAUACAGGGUAACAGCCCUUUUCAGCCGGCCCAUUAGCUGAAGCGGCUCCGGCCCUUUCUACCCAGCCC